AGCUAGUGUUCUGGGGUGUCGUUCCUCCGUUAUUCCUAAGAAAAGAUGAUGGGUUAGAGAUAGCCAUCUUGGACAGGCAGGGACAGGAUUUUGUACCCCAUGGAGAAGAAGGAAUUCUGGGACCUGGACCCCAACCAAAGGGAAGGCAAGGGAGAACUCUUGUAUCCCAUCUCUGCCUUCUAGUCUCAGGUGCCUGCAGGGCUCAGAGAUGCCCAGGCAGAGCCACAGCUGUGAACAGUUGCAGGGAGAUGCCCUGUAGCACCUGAGCCCAGGGCCAGGUCCUUGCCAUACCCUUUCUGCCUUCCUCUCUGUCUCUUGUGUCCCGUUCCUUCCUGGUGUUCAUCCCACCCAGGCAGUCCUAUGUUAGAUUCCCUGGUGAAAAGUACUGUCUGGCACUUUCUCUAGUAAAACAGCUCACAUCCUACAUGGGGAGAUGCCCCUGCCAGGUACUCUGAGGCUUGGGACCGUAACUUUACUUUGUGGCUCCCUGUGGCUCUCCGUUUUGCUUGGUGGCUCAUAAGAGGAUAACCUAAUUUGAGAACUUUGAAAUGUAGAGUUGCUACAGAGUGACAAUCCACUGAAGUGCAUGGGGCCUCUCAUAUUGAUUUUGACAUCUUUGACUAGAAGCCUCUACAAAUAGGAGUAGGGAGCAAUUUAUCCAACUUGGGAACGGCAGGGAAAAUUCCAGCCCCUGUGUUUCUGCCCUUUCCACUGUAUCGCUCGCCCCACCUAGUGGACACUGAAAGUAUUGCUGUUCAUGUUGGGGUGUCUGGAGGGUGCCAGUAUCUCUUCCUGAGUACUUGGGGAUGUUUUGGUUUAAAAAAAAAAAAAAGAAAAGAGAGUCAAGGUUUCUGCAACCUGGCUGAUCUCAUUUGGUCAGUUUUCCUGUUGGGAACUUGAGAACAGUGGGGACUUAGAGCCAGAUCAGAUAUUCAGAUAUCUGGCCUCUGGCAGAGGCUGGCAGCUGAGCCUUCUACACCCGAAUAGCAGCCAGCUCUCUCCUGGAAACUAAAGGAUUGGUCUUUGUGUUAGGGUACCUCAGAGAAAUAGAAACUGUAAUAGAAACUGAAAUAGAAACUGUGUGUGUGUGUGUGUGUGUGUACACAUAAAUAUAUAUGAAGAGAUUUACUAGAAGGAAUUGACUCGUGUGAUUAUGGAGACUGAGAAAUCCCAGUCUCUACAGAGGAUUGCUUGAGACCCAGGAGAGUUAAUGUGUAGUUCUGAUCCGAGUCCAGAGGCAUAAGAACCUGGAGAGCCAACGGCAGAAAUUCCAGUCUGAAAGCCAGUGGACUUGACGUCCAAGAACAGCUGAUGUUUCAAUCCAGGUCCAAUGGCCAGAAAAGACUAGUGCCCUAGCUCUAGCAGUCGAGUAGGAAGAGUUUCCUCUUAUUCAGCUUUUUGUUCUACUUGGGUUUUCAGUGGAUUGUAUGAGGUCCACCCCCACUGAUGAGGGUAAUUGGCUUUACCCAGUCUGCAGUUUUAAAUAUUAAUCUCAUCUAGAAAUACCAUCACAGACAUACUCAGAAUUUUGUUAAGACGUAUAUCUGGGCACCCUGUGGUUCAUUCAAGUUGACACAUAAAUUCAGCAAUCACAGUCUUACUCUCAGCAGCCCAAAGAAUGGAAAGAACUUAAGUUUUAGAAAGACGAAAAUCUCUCUAGCUGUGAGACAUUGCGCCAGUGUCGUAAUACCACUCAGCCUCAGUUUCUUCAUCUCUAAAUAGCACUGACUGGGCUGUUGAGAGGAUGGCCCAGGGCGUUAGGCCUGGCUCAUUAUGAUGCUCAGUCCUUGGUGACUGAGGUCUGUGAGGCUUUUCUUAUCGGCUUUUAGAGAUGUGGGGAAUCAGGAGCAUUGCAAGGACCCCAUCUAGUAAGCACAUGCUGAACAAGAAAUCUGCUUUUGCGGCCCACCUCCUUUCUGGGAUCGGGUCACUCCUGCCACAUGUGGUAGCCCCAGAUGAAACAAAACCUCUGGUGUUGACAGAUAAGGAUUCUCACUUCCCAACAUGCCUUACUCUGCUGCUCUCAUCUUAGUUUGAGCCCACAGAGGUAUGGGAUGAACCCUGAAACCCAGCCCUUCAGAUAUUCCCCAGGUCUAGGCUGAGCAGAGCACGUUGGCACAGGGCCAAGGUCAUAGACCACCAAUGGUUCAGUUUAACUGGGAUUGCCACGUUGCAUAUUGGGAAGGACCAGUGCGGACUGUAGUUCAGCUGACAAGUGAGGGGCUUAGGUUCCUCAGCCAGGACCACAAUCUUGCUCCCCAUAGGCCAUAAACUCCUUUCUCCCCUCUAGGGAGGUAUAAAAAAAUGGGACCACAGGCAAAGAGAAGACCUAGGUUCUAUCCCUCCUCUACCACUUUGUAGCUUUGUGACCUUAGGAAGGUUCUUCGCCCUCUCUGAGCUCCAUCUGUGAAGAUCCUGAGCAUUUCCUCCCUCCUGACCUCAGACAGCAGUCACAAGUUUUCCAUGAGAUGGUGUUAGCAGAAUGCUUUGUAAAUUGUAAAGUCUGUUCAUGGUUCAGACUCCAGCUGGCAGGAGACGCCACAGAUAAGGAUGGAGGUGAGUUGACACCAUCACUGUUAUCCUUCUCCUCUUCUCCCAUCUCUUCCUCAUCAACAUCACAGCUGCAGAGCUUGUUGUCUCGUUUAAGGUCUAUGAUGGCCCAAUGACGUAGGAGCUUUAUCUCCAUUUUACGGUGGAGGAAACUGAGUCUCAGAGAGGAGACAUCGUUGCCUGAGACCACACAGCCAGGGAGCUAGAGCUUUACUUAAGCUUGGGUCCUUGUGGUGCUGCCGUCGGAAUGGUGCUGCCAGGUCCUGCUCAGAUGCCCGCCCCUUCCCUGUGAAGUUUUUAUAACUCACUGCUGGCCUCUUUACUGUCUGGGGGGUGUACAUAUUUACUUGUGGGAUGCAUCGGCUAUUAUGAGAUUGGUAGCCCCAAUCCCUGAUCAUCUCUGUGGGCCCCAUCAACAGCUCAGGCAUUUAGGGGUUCUUAAAUGGUGUCUGGCAUUGAACCAAGUAGUUCUAGGUGACCAAGGAGGAGGAAGGGAGGGUAAGGGCAGUCUUGGAACAAAGCUGGGAAGAAUCACUGCCUUCUCCCUACUUCCCCAGUCCCCUACUGAGGGCUUAGGGGUUGGAGUUGCAAAGCAAACAGGUUGUUUCCAAGUGAAUGGGGGAGCCAGAUGGAGAGCAGCAGCUUCUGAGCUUGCACCCCACUCUCCUGCCUUCAUGUUCUGUCCCAGGCCUGGUGAGGUGGCUAAGGGAUGGCCACGGUGGAGGCAGACACGCUCUCAGCUUGCCUGCCUCCUUGACUGGGUAACCUUGUGCCCCAUUUCUCCCCUACUAUAAAGAAGAGGUUACUAACUGGCUCCCACAUGCCAGGUGCUCUGCGAGGGGCCCCGUGGGCUUCAUUGCUACCCAACACCUUCAGCCUCUCGGGGAGUUCCACUGUUUUAUCCAUGAACAAAUUCAAGGGCAGGGUGGGAAGGAACUAAGUCGGAAGUAGGCAGAUAACACGCUGGAGUUUUGAUCCUCGGUCUCCUUCCUAGAUCGCUCUCCCUGUCCUCUCCAGGCCACCCCUCACUGCUUUUUCCACCUGGCUCUGCCUUGAUCACCCCUCCAGGGUGUCUCCCCUGAUGGACCCACCUGGCUGCCCAGCUGAUCCUGGUGGCUCUCGCAUCCUGUCUGGACCCUUCCCUGCUAGUGUGCUGGGGUCCUAGUUCAUUAAUGUAUUUCAUAUCAGCCAAUCAGGCUACUUAAGAAAGCAGCGUUUACUCCAUUUAUCCAGGCACCGUAGAUAAGAGGACGGGUCCAACAAGAUGCGUUCUCUGCCCUUGAGAUCCUGAAGUCUUUGGAGAGACAGGGAGAGAGACAGAAUGUGAUGGACCCAAAUAAUCACGACAACGUGGUGUUGAAUUGCUCCCUGAAACAAAUGUCCUGAAAGCCUGGGGUGUUCAGCCACCCAGAGGUGAGACACCUGGGGGCAGAAGCUGGACCACCCAGAUGCACAAGGGCGACAGGGAAUCAGCAAGCUCUUACCCCAGAGACUAUUUUCUGUCAUUGUGACCUGGCUUCUCCACCCGUCGUCGUCAGUGCUAACAAGGGCAGAGUGUUUUUCUUUCACGUGGAACAUGUUCUUGUUGACCUCCUGCCCAGCAUGGUGAUGGGCCAUUAGCCUCCAUCUGGAGGGACACAGGGAGCCCUCACCCUCUGGCCUGUGUGGCAGAAAGAAGAGAAAAACUGCAAAUAUUUCCACGGCACUUUCUCAUUGCCAGGCACUGCUGUCGGGCUUUGUAACUAUGAGCUCAUCUGGUCCUCAGCACCAGCUUGUGAGGUGAAAUCCAGACCCUGACUGAUCUGACCACGUGACCCCUGCCUGUACCUCUGCAACCUCGUAGUGACCAGUCCCCUACUGGAAUGUCAACUCCAUGAGGGGUUUGUCCGUUUUGUAACAAAACUUUUGCUCCUUGUAGUUCUCAGGGCUUAGAACAUAGUAGGUACUCAGUCAAUACUGUGUGAAUGAGCCUGUGAACACUCCCUGUCCUCCAGCCAGAUGGAGCUUAUUUCACUGGGCCUCACAUUCUCCUUCCUGUCUGUCUCCCAGCCCCGACUGGCAUGGCUAACCCCUGCUCAUUUUUUUUUUUUCCGUCUGAGUUUUAAUGUCUCCUCCAGGGAGCCUCCAGUGACUUCUUUGCUGCCUCAGAUGGACCUCCUUUGUACCCUGAGCUUACUUUAAAUUCCCAGUCAUAGUAUUUAACAGACUUCUUCUUUUUGUGGUGCCAGGGGAUGGAACCCAGGGCCUUGCGCAUGCUAAGCAUGUGCUCUGCCGCUGAGCAAAACCCCCAUCCCCCACAUUUCUUUUUAUAGCUUCUUUAUUUUCCCUGAUUGCAUCACUAAAAAGUCUAACAACAGAAUACAUAAUGUUGAAAGCGAAAGUCUCUUUAACUUGCAUCCUACACAGAGAACUGCCAAGAGUUAGUUGUAAGUUUCUCAUUUUUUUUCCAUGCAUUAUCGUAUGCGUAUAUAUACAUAUAUAUGAACGAGAUCAUGCUAUUGGUAGUUAUGAAGUUUGCUCAUGUUGUUUUAGUUAAUGAGACUAAGACAUCUUGUAUACUAGUAAUUAAAGAUCAACCUUAUUCCUC
Molecule: non-coding RNA, 5137 nt
Organism: Ictidomys tridecemlineatus (thirteen-lined ground squirrel)
Lineage: Eukaryota; Metazoa; Chordata; Mammalia; Rodentia; Sciuridae
Source: RefSeq, a predicted model, not a curated record